UAGCUCUUCUGUCAGUUUGCCAGGACUUAGACUUCUAUGAAUCCAUGAAUGUGGGCUGGCUCUGCGAACACUGCUGUGAAGGCUACAUUUUUUUGCGGACCACCUAGGCACAGGUAGGUUGGUCUGCCUGGUUUGUACUGCAAGAGCAAAAUAACACAGACUGGGUAAUUUAUAAAUAAUAGAAUUUUUUUUUUCUCACAGUUCUGGAGGCGAGCAAGUCCAAGAUCAAAGCACUGGCAGCUUCUUUGAGGGUCUGUUCCAGUAAAAGCAUCUUCUUGCAACAACAUCCUCACAUGACAGAGGGGGGAAGGGCAACAGGACAUGAAUGCUGUGCCCUCACCUGGUGAAGAGAGGAAGAGCAAAAGGGUCUCAGCUAGCUCCCUCCAGCCCUUUUCUAAGUGCAGAAUUUUAUUGGCUUGUCAUGAAUUUUCA
This 432-nucleotide long non-coding RNA is filed under the name Homo sapiens (human). RNAcentral describes it as "non-protein coding lnc-ABCA5-1:1". Lineage: Eukaryota; Metazoa; Chordata; Mammalia; Primates; Hominidae. The record is from RNAcentral.